This 1525-nucleotide long non-coding RNA is filed under the name Marmota monax (woodchuck). Lineage: Eukaryota; Metazoa; Chordata; Mammalia; Rodentia; Sciuridae. The record is from RNAcentral.
CUUGGGAGCUCACCCGGCGGCAGUGGGCGAGGUGGGCUGUGGAGAGGAGCAACUGGACUCAGGACAUGAGCAGGAGGAAGGAAGAGGGAGAGUGUGGGACUCCUGUAGCCUGUGACCUUCCCAAAUCAGAAGCACCCAGAGAGAUGGCUAAUCCAGCCAGCUCGCGCCGCCCAUAGCGCUCCUGGUCAUCCCUCCCGCCCGCUCCCACUCACCACCCACCGCAUAGGCACCCCAGCCCCUCCACAAAUGCGCACCUGCUGGUGCCCUGGCCACACCCGAGCCAAAGCCCUUCCUGGCUGGUAGGACGCUCUGCCUUACCUUUCUCCCUCCGGAAAGACUAGCCUUUCACCAGCCCAGGUCAGAGGGCAGCCGGGGGAAUCUUUCCUCCCUCUGUAGUGUGCACGGAAAACUUCCUUCUGGAAUAGCUCACCUGGCUGGAUCCCAUAAUGACCCAAGAGCCCUCAUGGGCUCCGGGGAGACUCCUGCAUUUUACCUACAGACCCUGGCCCUUGGGGCUAGCAAGGCUGAGAUGAGAACAGUAAUAAUACAGGCAGCCCUGGCAGAAGGCGUGUAUUAUCUCAUUAAACGACAGCCUCCUGAUUGCAGGUAAGUGAGAGGGGAGCUAUCAGUGCUGUGUCUCCAGGGCAGCAGGCGUGCAAUAAAGGGUAGUGUUACUGCCGUCGGCCAGCAGGAGCUCAGUGGCCGUUCACUGACGUGAGUGAGUGGACAAGUGAGGCGACUUGAGCAACUCGGCCUCCUUCCGGGGGAUGCAGGGGCCAUGCAUGGCACGGGCUGCAAGCGAGUCCCAGGCUCACGGCCCCUGUCUGGGAACCCGCUGACCUGGCUAUGAAGGGUGCCUCUGAGGGACGUGGAGGACACUACCGGUCUCAACCUGGUUUUCCAACUGCUCAAGUCACCUGAUACUCUGCAGAAGGAGGCUCACCCAGGGCCCUUCCUCCUGCAGGGACAAGCCUGCAGGCCUCUGCCGGAAUCCUUGCUGGAAUCCUUGUGGAAUGGUGCAGGCAGCGAGCUGCAGGCGGCCAGCGCACUGUCACCGCCUGACCGGCAUUAGGCAAUGAGGAAGUCACUUUUGGGUGGCCAGUGGCACACUCUGCCUGAGGCAGGGCCCCGGAGCUCGUAGGCACAGCUCAGGCAGUGCCCUGGGUGUUCACUGUGAGCCAGGCACCAUGCCUGCCUUGUGUCCCGCCCCCAGGAGCUGGCUGUCUGCAGGGAAGGACAGAAUCAGGAACAGUGGCUCUGGGGGAGUGGUGUCCAGGUGGCAUCCCUAAGGCUGGGGCAGGUGUCGAGAAACAGCCCUCUCCCACUGCCCCAGGACUUCUGCCAUGUUAAUACCACUUGGGGUCUUAUUUGCUUAAGGUUUUAAAAAAAAUGGGAAAAAGUUGUUUUUAAAAAAAGAAGCUGAAUCAUAAUUAAAAAGCAACUAAAGAUAAAGUCCUUAGAAAGAAGGGUCUGUCCAUGUGCCUGUUUGAAAUCCCCUCCUAUCCCACACUCUGGGCUCCGUGAU